UCCGUCAAUUCAAUUAAUCAAAUUUAGGACCACAUAUAAUUCAUCUCCGUCAAUUCAAUUUAUCAAAUUUAGACCACAAAAUUCAAAUAUCAAAGUUCGUAUCCAAUAUAAUUUGCCAUCAAUUCAGUUUAUCAAAAUUCUAACCACAUAAUCCAAAUAUCAAAUUUCAUAUCCAAUGGCAUUCUCCGUCAAUUCAAUUAAUCAAAUUUAGGACCACAUAAUCCAUCUUCCUCAAUUCAAUUUAUCAAGAAUCCAAUUAAACAAGAAUCCAAUUUUCUUCGCUAAAAUCUCAAACACCACAAGAAAAAUCCAAUUUUCUAGAAUAGUAGAUACUGCACAAAAAUUGAAUCAAAUGGAAAAAUAAAGAAAGAAGAAAGAGAAAUGAACCAAAAUCAAAUUCAUAAGAAUUACCUCGAGAGAUUGCAGAUCCGUUGAAUGUCGAAUCAAGAAACUAUCUAUUGUUUGUAAUUUUUCUGGGUUUUGAAGAUUCUUCAUGAACACUGACGCCAAACACGAAUCGAGAUGGAGAAGGGAUUCCCGAAUUCACCGUCGUCGUACAAGAAAUGGAAGGUUGUGGAUUUGGN
RNAcentral lists this long non-coding RNA (584 nucleotides) under Trifolium pratense (red clover). RNAcentral's name for it is "long non-coding RNA (TPRA_LNC006889)". Lineage: Eukaryota; Viridiplantae; Streptophyta; Magnoliopsida; Fabales; Fabaceae. The record is from RNAcentral.